This is a small nuclear RNA of Diorhabda carinulata, 114 nucleotides long. RefSeq annotates it as U2 spliceosomal RNA. The transcript has a single exon. NCBI's taxonomy places the organism in Eukaryota, Metazoa, Arthropoda, Insecta, Coleoptera, Chrysomelidae. The record is from RefSeq and is a predicted model, not a curated record.
UUUUCUUCUCGGCCUCUGGCUAAGAUCAAAGUGUAGUAUCUGUUCUUAUCAGCUUAAUAUCUAAGACCUUAUUAAUGUUGGGAAACAGAAAUAAAUCCGCAGUCGACAAACACA